This 520-nucleotide ribosomal RNA is filed under the name uncultured Glomus. Its description in RNAcentral is "SSU rRNA". It matches the Rfam family "Eukaryotic small subunit ribosomal RNA", at positions 569 to 1092 of the family's 1831-position model. The record is from RNAcentral. Lineage: Eukaryota; Fungi; Glomeromycota; Glomeromycetes; Glomerales; Glomeraceae.
AGCAGCCGCGGUAAUUCCAGCUCCAAUAGCGUAUAUUAAAGUUGUUGCAGUUAAAAAGCUCGUAGUUGAAUUUCGGGGUUAGUAGGUUGGUCAUGCCUCUGGUAUGUACUGGUCUCACUGAUUCCUCCUUCCUGAUGAGCCGUAAUGCCAUUAAUUUGGUGUUGCGGGGAAUUUGGACUGUUACUUUGAAAAAUUAGAGUGUUUAAAGCAAGCUAACGCUUGAAUACAUUAGCAUGGAAUAAUGAAAUAGGACGUUCGAUCCUAUUUCGUUGGUUUCUAGGAUUGACGUAAUGAUUAAUAGGGAUAGUUGGGGGCAUUAGUAUUCAAUUGUCAGAGGUGAAAUUCUUGGAUUUAUUGAAGACUAACUACUGCGAAAGCAUUUGCCAAGGAUGUUUUCAUUAAUCAAGAACGAAAGUUAGGGGAUCGAAGACGAUCAGAUACCGUCGUAGUCUUAACCAUAAACUAUGCCGACUAGGGAUCGGAUGAUGUUAAUUUUUAAUGACUCAUUCGGCGCCUUAAC